RNAcentral lists this ribosomal RNA (484 nucleotides) under uncultured bacterium. RNAcentral describes it as "partial 16S ribosomal RNA". It matches the Rfam family "Bacterial small subunit ribosomal RNA", at positions 30 to 507 of the family's 1533-position model. The record is from RNAcentral.
AUUGAACGCUGGCGGCAUGCUUUACACAUGCAAGUCGAACGGCAGCACGGGCUUCGGCCUGGUGGCGAGUGGCGAACGGGUGAGUAAUAUAUCGGAACGUACCCAGAAGUGGGGGAUAACGUAGCGAAAGUUACGCUAAUACCGCAUACGAUCUAUGGAUGAAAGCAGGGGACCGCAAGGCCUUGUGCUCCUGGAGCGGCCGAUAUCUGAUUAGCUAGUUGGUGGGGUAAAGGCUCACCAAGGCGACGAUCAGUAGUUGGUCUGAGAGGACGACCAGCCACACUGGAACUGAGACACGGUCCAGACUCCUACGGGAGGCAGCAGUGGGGAAUUUUGGACAAUGGGCGCAAGCCUGAUCCAGCAAUGCCGCGUGAGUGAAGAAGGCCUUCGGGUUGUAAAGCUCUUUUGUCAGGGAAGAAACGGUAUAGGCUAAUAUCCUGUGCUAAUGACGGUACCUGAAGAAUAAGCACCGGCUAACUACGUG